This 306-nucleotide unclassified non-coding RNA is filed under the name plant metagenome. RNAcentral describes it as "partial contains 5.8S ribosomal RNA, internal transcribed spacer 2, and large subunit ribosomal RNA". The stretch from base 1 to 105 matches the Rfam family "5.8S ribosomal RNA", at positions 50 to 154 of the family's 154-position model. The record is from RNAcentral.
GAAAUGCGAUAAGUAAUGUGAAUUGCAGAAUUCAGUGAAUCAUCGAAUCUUUGAACGCACAUUGCGCCCGCCAGUAUUCUGGCGGGCAUGCCUGUCCGAGCGUCAUUUCAACCAUCAAGCCCCCGGGCUUGUGUUGGGGGCCUGCGGCUGCCCGCAGGCCCUGAAAACCAGUGGCGGGCUCGCUGUCACACCGAGCGUAGUAGCAAUCACCUCGCUCAGGGCGUGCUGCGGGUUCCGGCCGUUAAACAGCCUUACAAAACCCAAGGUUGACCUCGGAUCAGGUAGGAAGACCCGCUGAACUUAAGC